RNAcentral lists this ribosomal RNA (451 nucleotides) under uncultured bacterium. RNAcentral's name for it is "bacterial SSU rRNA". It matches the Rfam family "Bacterial small subunit ribosomal RNA", at positions 340 to 783 of the family's 1533-position model. The record is from RNAcentral.
UACGGGAGGCAGCAGUGGGGAAUAUUGCACAAUGGGCGCAAGCCUGAUGCAGCCAUGCCGCGUGUAUGAAGAAGGCCUUCGGGUUGUAAAGUACUUUCAGUCGUGAGGAAGGUGUUAAGGUUAAUAACCUUAGCAAUUGACGUUAGCGACAGAAGAAGCACCGGCUAACUCCGUGCCAGCAGCCGCGGUAAUACGGAGGGUGCGAGCGUUAAUCGGAAUUACUGGGCGUAAAGGGCACGCAGGCGGUUAAUUAAGUUGGAUGUGAAAUCCCCGGGCUUAACCUGGGAAUGGCAUUCAAGACUGGUUAGCUAGAGUCUUGUAGAGGGGGUAGAAUUCCAUGUGUAGCGGUGAAAUGCGUAGAGAUGUGGAGGAAUACCGGUGGCGAAGGCGGCCCCUGGACAAAGACUGACGCUCAUGUGCGAAAGCGUGGGGAGCAAACAGGGAUUUAGAU